RNAcentral lists this ribosomal RNA (414 nucleotides) under uncultured microorganism. RNAcentral describes it as "bacterial SSU rRNA". It matches the Rfam family "Archaeal small subunit ribosomal RNA", at positions 459 to 872 of the family's 1478-position model. The record is from RNAcentral.
CAGCAGCCGCGGUAAUACCGGCGGCCCGAGUGGCGGUCACUCUUAUUGGGCUUAAAGCGUCCGUAGCCGGGUUGGGAAGUCCUCCGGGAAAUCUGGCCGCUUAACGGUCAGAAUGCCGGAGGAUACUCCCAGCCUAGGGAGCGGGAGAGGCCGAGGGUAUUCCCGGAGUAGGGGGGAAAUCCUAUAAUCCCGGGAGGACCACCUGUGGGGAAGGCGCUCGGCUGGAACGCGUCCGACGGUGAGGGACGAAGGCCAGGGGAGCAAACCGGAUUAGAUACCCGGGUAGUCCUGGCUGUAAACGAUGCGGACUUUGUGUCGGACAAGCUAUGAGCUUGUCCGGUGCCGGAGGGAAACCGUUAAGUCCGCCGCCUGGGGAGUACGGCCGCAAGGCUGAAACUUAAAGGAAUUGGCGGG